RNAcentral lists this ribosomal RNA (484 nucleotides) under uncultured bacterium. RNAcentral describes it as "bacterial SSU rRNA". It matches the Rfam family "Bacterial small subunit ribosomal RNA", at positions 28 to 507 of the family's 1533-position model. The record is from RNAcentral.
GAUGAACGCUAGCGGGAGGCUUAACACAUGCAAGUCGAGGGGCAGCACUGAUAGCAAUAUUAGGUGGCGACCGGCGGACGGGUGAGUAACGCGUAUGCAACCUACCCUUUACAGGGGGAUAGCCCGGAGAAAUUCGGAUUAAUACCCCAUAGAUCAGUGAUUCUGCAUGGGAUUACUGGUAAAGCUUCGGCGGUAAAGGAUGGGCAUGCGUCCCAUUAGCUAGUUGGUAGGGUAACGGCCUACCAAGGCAACGAUGGGUACGGGGUCUUAAAGGAUGGACCCGCACACUGGCACUGAGACACGGGCCAGACUCUUACGGGAGGCAGCAGUGAGGAAUAUUGGUCAAUGGGGGGAACCCUGAACCAGCCAUCCCGCGUGCAGGAAGACAGUUCUAUGGAUUGUAAACUGCUUUUCUUGGGGAAGAAUAAUGACGACGUGUCGUCAGAUGACGGUACCCGAGGAAUAAGCAUCGGCUAACUCCGUG